Prionailurus viverrinus (fishing cat) is the source of this 307-nucleotide long non-coding RNA. RefSeq lists it as uncharacterized. NCBI's taxonomy places the organism in Eukaryota, Metazoa, Chordata, Mammalia, Carnivora, Felidae. The record is from RefSeq and is a predicted model, not a curated record. The transcript is spliced from 3 exons.
UUUUAGGAGACAUAACACUGAAACGGAAGCUCUAAAAGGGCGGUGGUCUUCUAAUCUAUCUCUAUGAGGCUCAGCACAAUGGUUGGCACUUUACAUAUAACAGGGUACAGAGAAAACAGAAGCUCAGAUACAUGCCUUGUCCAAUUUCACACAGCUAAUCCAUGGCAGAACCUGAUAUGAAACAAGCUGUAUAAAUGGAAGGAAGACAAUGCAUGACUCUCCUUCAGCAUCAAGCUUACAUCCAUUGCGAGUUAUUCACAUAUUAAAAUUUAAGGCUGUCUGUGAGACGUUGUGCAACUAUGAUAGG